AUGACCGGGGAAAUCAAGAACCCCGACGGCGACAAGGCGGCGGCGGCGGCGGCGCCGGCCGAUGACGGCGGCGGAGCGGGAGGAGGAGGAGGAGGAGGAGGGGCCGGACAUGGCAAGAAGGGCGGCAAGAACAAGCUGUCCCUGGUCCCGCUCAUCUUCCUCAUCUUCUUCGAGGUCGCCGGCGGGCCCUACGGCGCCGAGCCGGCGGUGCAGUCGGCGGGGCCCCUCUUCGCGCUGCUCGGCUUCUUGAUCUUCCCCUUCAUCUGGGCCAUCCCGGAGUCGCUCGUCACGGCCGAGCUCUCCACCGCGAUGCCCGGGAACGGCGGCUUCGUCGUCUGGGCGGACCGCGCCUUCGGCCCCGUCUCGGGCUCCCUCAUGGGCACCUGGAAGUACGUGUCGGGGGCCAUCAACGGCGCCGCCUUCCCCGCGCUCUGCGCCGACUACCUCGCCCGCGUCGUCCCCGCCGUGGCCGACGGCGGCGCGCGGGUGGCCACCAUCGUCACCUUCAACGUCGCGCUCUCCGUGCUCAACUACACCGGCCUCAGCGUCGUGGGGUGGUCCGCCGUGGCGCUGGGGGUCGCCUCGCUGUCGCCGUUCGUGCUCAUGUCCGGCAUCGCGCUGCCCAAGAUCCGGCCGCACAGGUGGGCGGCCACCGCCGGCGACAAGGACUGGAAGCUCUUCUUCAACACGCUGUUCUGGAACCUCAACUACUGGGACAGCGUGAGCACGAUGGCCGGCGAGGUGGAGAACCCCGGCAGGACGUUCCCGACGGCGCUCAUGUCGUCCGUGGCCAUGACGUCCCUCGGGUACCUGCUGCCGCUCAUGGCGGCCACCGGCGCCGUCGACGCGCCGCCGGAGCAAUGGGGGAACGGCUUCUUCGCCGACGCCGCAGGCACGAUCGCUGGCGACUGGCUCAAGUACUGGAUCGAGGUGGGCGCGGUGCUCUCCUCCAUCGGCCUCUACUCGGCGACACUAAGCAGUGCGGCAUUCCAGCUUCUUGGAAUGGCGGACCUAGGCCUCCUCCCCCGCGUGUUCGCGCUCCGCGCCCCAAUCUUCAAUACUCCCUGGGUCAGCAUCGUGGUCACCAGCCUCAUCACCCUCGGCAUGUCCUUCUUCAGCUUCAACAACAUCGUGGCCGCUGCCAACUUCCUCUACAGCCUUGGCAUGCUCCUCGAGUUUGCCACCUUCGUUUGGCUUCGGAUCAAACGGCCCGAGAUGUCGCGCCCCUACCGUGUACCGCUACGACUACCAGGCAUCGUUGUCCUCUGCCUCGUCCCCUCGGGGUUCCUUGUCUUCGUCAUGGCCAUCGCUGGCUGGAAGGUGUAUGCCAUCAGCGCUAUGUUCACUGCGGCAGGCCUCGGGGUGUAUUACCUCAUGAAGUUUUGUAGGGCGAGAGGGUUCCUCAAGUUUGGCACUGUUGAUGGCGAGGGUUUGAUGUAUGAGCGUCAUGAGGAGAGGGGAAAUGUCGGUGUUUGA
This 1476-nucleotide ribosomal RNA is filed under the name Triticum aestivum (bread wheat). Its description in RNAcentral is "partial small subunit ribosomal RNA". Lineage: Eukaryota; Viridiplantae; Streptophyta; Magnoliopsida; Poales; Poaceae. The record is from RNAcentral.